RNA transcript from Erigeron canadensis, 1243 nucleotides. It is a transcript of the gene named B-box zinc finger protein 19-like, with no coding region annotated. The record is from RefSeq and is a predicted model, not a curated record. The transcript has 7 exons. Lineage: Eukaryota; Viridiplantae; Streptophyta; Magnoliopsida; Asterales; Asteraceae.
GUGUUUGUCAAUUGUCAAUUUCUCUAUCUUCUUCUACUCUAGUCUCCCAAAUAAAACAACACAUCAAUCAAAUAUUUGCUUCCAACUUUCAUAUUUUGAUCAAAAAUAAAUUCUGACCUUAUUUUGUUAAAAAUAAAACACGAAAUCCAAAAUGACAUAGUAUUACUAUCUAAGAUUAGAUACAAACACACACACAUAUAUAUAGAAAGUUAUAUAUAGGAAAAAUGCGAACAUUGUGUGAUGUUUGCGAAAGUGCCGGUGCGAUUCUGUUUUGUGCUGCUGAUGAAGCUGCUCUUUGCCGUGCUUGCGAUGAUAAGGUGCAUAUGUGUAAUAAGCUUGCUAGUCGGCAUGUACGAGUAGGACUUGCCGAUCCUAGUGACGUACCACGCUGUGACAUAUGUGAAAAUGCACCAGCUUUCUUCUACUGUGGAAUAGACGGAAGUUCUCUGUGCUUACAGUGUGACAUGAUUGUCCAUGUUGGUGGUAAACGAACACAUGAAAGAUUUCUGUUACUAAGGCAACGAGUCGAGUUUCCAGGGGAUAGAAAUGGAAAUGGACGUGACGAAGAGUUAGGGUCACAACCUAUUGAUCCAGGAGAUGUAAGGAGGGAACCAAAUAAUCAACCUAGGCAUACAACAAGAGAGAGCCAGCAUCAUAGGUUAUCUGCCAUAGGAAUGCUGGAAAAUAAUGCUGAAGGUGCUGGCAGAGGAAUGGAAAAUAAGCUGUUUGAUCUUAAUGCAAGGCCUCAACGGAUGCAUGGGCAAACGUCAAACAACCAGGAACAAGGAAUGGAUAUUAGUGGCGGUAAUAAUGAUUGUGCAAGUGUGGUUCCUGUUGGAUCCUUUAAAAGAGAGCCUGAGAAGUAACUGAGUUCUUGUUACUGCAUACCGCAUGCUGUUGAUACUAUAAAAUUCUACCAUAUGAAGUGAGUAGCGCACUAGUCAUAGGGUGUCAUCCUUGUAAGAAGAUGGUCUUGGAGAUUAUCACAGCACAUGCUGCUUUGUUAGUCCUGUAACGAGGGGGGCUCGACUGUUUUGAAGGCAUACUAUUUACCAUUGAAGUGGUUGUCACUCUCACUUUCAAUUGCAGCACAUUUUAAUCUGAUGAUAGAGUUCCUUAGUGCGAAGGAAAAUCCAAGAUUUUUGGUAGCCCGAACCAUGAAUUCAUAACUGUUCAUAAACGUGUUCUCAUCUUAUCUCAUGCAAUUUUAGAUUCUAAUUUUAAUGCAUUUGGUGUUGUAUCA